AAUACCGCAUAACCAUAGUUACCGCAUGGUAACUAUGUAAAAGGUGGCUAUGCUACCGCUUUUGGAUGGGCCCGCGGCGCAUUAGCUAGUUGGUGGGGUAAAGGCUUACCAAGGCAAUGAUGCGUAGCCGAACUGAGAGGUUGAUCGGCCACAUUGGGACUGAGACACGGCCCAAACUCCUACGGGAGGCAGCAGUAGGGAAUCUUCCACAAUGGGCGAAAGCCUGAUGGAGCAACGCCGCGUGGGUGAAGAAGGUCUUCGGAUCGUAAAACCCUGUUGUUAGAGAAGAAAGUGCGUGAGAGUAACUGUUCACGUUUCGACGGUAUCUAACCAGAAAGCCACGGCUAACUACGUGCCAGCAGCCGCGGUAAUACGUAGGUGGCAAGCGUUAUCCGGAUUUAUUGGGCGUAAAGGGAACGCAGGCGGUCUUUUAAGUCUGAUGUGAAAGCCUUCGGCUUAACCGGAGUAGUGCAUUGGAAACUGGGAGACUUGAGUGCAGAAGAGGAGAGUGGAACUCCAUGUGUAGCGGUGAAAUGCGUAGAUAUAUGGAAGAACACCAGUGGCGAAAGCGGCUCUCUGGUCUGUAACUGACGCUGAGGUUCGAAAGCGUGGGUAGCAAACAGGAUUAGAUACCCUGGUAGUCCACGCCGUAAACGAUGAAUGCUAAGUGUUGGAGGGUUUCCGCCCUUCAGUGCUGCAGC
Molecule: ribosomal RNA, 701 nt
Filed under: uncultured bacterium
Lineage: Bacteria
Description: bacterial SSU rRNA
Rfam family: Bacterial small subunit ribosomal RNA
Source: RNAcentral